RNAcentral lists this transfer RNA (78 nucleotides) under Lysobacter helvus. RNAcentral describes it as "tRNA-Gly". The record is from RNAcentral. Lineage: Bacteria; Pseudomonadati; Pseudomonadota; Gammaproteobacteria; Lysobacterales; Lysobacteraceae. RNAcentral also lists the same sequence under 1 other name.
CAGUGGCAGCGCGGUGCGCGCCAGCGCUUCCCAGGUGCGGCCCGGCGAAUAGUGGCGUUCCAUGUCGCCGGCCACCGA